GAAAGUAAGAAAGGGCGUAUGGCGGAUGCCUAGGCUCACGGAGGCGAUGAAGGACGUGAUAAGCUGCGAUAAGCUUCGGGUAGGUGCAAAUAACCCUUGAUCCGGAGAUUUCCGAAUGGGACAACCUAGCCGUCUGAAGGACGGUUACUAGCACUUAAGUGUUAGAGCUAACGCAGGGAACUGAAACAUCUUAGUACCUGUAGGAAGAGAAAAUAAAUGAAUGAUUCCCCCAGUAGUGGCGAGCGAACGGGGAACAGCCCAAACCGUUGACGUCGCAAGGCGCCAGCGGGGUUGUAGGACCGCGACAUUGUAUGCAAAUCGUGAACAGAACACUUUGGAAAAUGUGACCAUAGACGGUGAUAGUCCAGUAUGUGAAGCGAAAUGCAGCAUAGCGGUAUCCUGAGUAACGCGGGACACGAGGAAUCCUGCGCGAAUCUGCCGGGACCAUCCGGUAAGGCUAAAUACUCCCGUGAGACCGAUAGCGAACGAGUACUGUGAAGGAAAGGUGAAAAGAACCCCGAGCAGGGGAGUGAAAUAGUUCCUGAAACCAUACGCCUACAAGCGGUCGGAGCAUCUUACGAUGUGACGGCGUGCCUUUUGCAUAAUGAUCCUACGAGUUACCGUCACUGGCGAGGUUGAGUGUCAUGAGACACGUAGCCGCAGUGAAAGCGAGCCUGAAUAGGGCGCAUAGUCAGUGGGGGUAGACGCGAAACCAAGUGAUCUACACUUGGCCAGGAUGAAGUCCCGGUAACACGGGAUGGAGGUCCGCACCAAUAAGCGUUGAAAAGCUUCUGGAUGAGCCGAGUGUAGGAGUGAAAGGCCAAUCAAACUUGGAGAUAGCUCGUACUCCCCGAAAGGCAUUUAGGUGCCGCGUCGGAUGGUCACCGUGAGAGGUAGAGCGACCGAUAGGACAAGAGGGCUUCACCGCCUAUCGAGUCCUGACGAACUCCGAAUGCUCACGGUCUGCAGUCCGGCAGUAAGGGGGCGGGUGCUAAGGUCCGUCCCCGAGAGGAGAAGAAUCCAGACCGCCGUCUAAGGUCCCGGAGUUCUGCCUGAGUUAGUCUAACGAAGUCUGGUCCCUAUGACAGCUAGGAUGUUGGCUUGGAAGCAGCCAUUCAUUCAAAGAGUGCGUAACAGCUCACUAGUCGAGGGUCCGGGCAUGGAUAAUAAUCGGGUAUAAGGCAGACACCGAAGGCGCGGGAUAGCAUUUAAGAAAGUAUCGGUAGGGGAGCAUACUCACAGCGUCGAAUGGUGUACGUAAGUUAUCCUGGAGCGGUGAGUAAAGCAAAUGUAGGAAUAAGUAACGAUAAGGAGGGUUAGAUUCCCUCCCGCUGUAAGACCAAGGUUUCCCGGGCAAUGCCAAUCAGCCCGGGGUCAGUCGGGUCCUAAGUCUAAGCCGAACGGCGAUGGCGAUGGCAGAGACGGUUAAUAUUCCGUCACUGCCGCAUGGGGCGACGUGGAGACGGAGCAGUGAAACCACCGCGGGGCGACGGAAGUCCCCGUUGAAGAGUGUAGGUGUUGAGGAUGGCAGGCAAAUCCACCGUCCGAGCUGAACUUGAUAGUAUGGAGUCUUCUUCGGAAGAAUCCAAUAGUGUGGGUAAUCAUACUCCCGAGAAAAUCCGCUAAGCUUAACCCAUGCGGCACCCGUACCGCAAACGGACACACGUGGUCGGGUAGAACAUACUAAGGCGUUGAGAGAUUCAUGGUUAAGGAACUAGGCAAAUUGACCCUGUAACUUCGGGAUAAAGGGUCCUCGUGAUGAGCGAGGCGCAGAGAAUAGGUCCAGGCAACUGUUUAACAAAAACACAGGGCUGUGCAAACUCGAAAGAUGACGUAUACAGCCUGACACCUGCCCGGUGCCGGAAGGUUAAGAGGAGAUGUCACUAGCAAUAGGAAGCAUUGAAUUGAAGCCCCGGUAAACGGCGGCCGUAACUAUAACGGUCCUAAGGUAGCGAAAUUCCUUGUCGGGU
RNAcentral lists this ribosomal RNA (1970 nucleotides) under human gut metagenome. RNAcentral's name for it is "bacterial LSU rRNA". It matches the Rfam family "Bacterial large subunit ribosomal RNA", at positions 1 to 1977 of the family's 2925-position model. The record is from RNAcentral.